GACGAACGCUGGCGGCGUGCUUAACACAUGCAAGUCGAACGGAAAGGCCCUGCUUUUGUGGGGUGCUCGAGUGGCGAACGGGUGAGUAACACGUGAGUAACCUGCCCUUGACUUUGGGAUAACUUCAGGAAACUGGGGCUAAUACCGGAUAGGAGCUCCUGCUGCAUGGUGGGUGUUGGAAAGUUUCGGCGGUUGGGGAUGUACUCGCGGCUUAUCAGCUUGUUGGUGGGGUAGUGGCUUACCAAGGCUUUGACGGGUAGCCGGCCUGAGAGGGUGACCGGCCAAAUUGGGACUGAGAUACGGCCCAGACUCGUACGGGAGGCAGCAGUGGGGAAUAUUGCACAAUGGGCGGAAGCAUGAUGCAGCAACGCAGCGUGCGGGAUGACGGCCUUCGGGUUGUAAACCGAUUUCGCCUGUGACGAAGCGUGAGUGACGGUAAUGGGUAAAGAAGCACCGGCUAACUACGUG
Molecule: ribosomal RNA, 468 nt
Filed under: uncultured bacterium
Lineage: Bacteria
Description: partial 16S ribosomal RNA
Rfam family: Bacterial small subunit ribosomal RNA
Source: RNAcentral